UAUCUGCAGUCGAGCGGACGAUGGGAGCUUGCUCCCUGAUGUUAGCGGCGGACGGGUGAGUAACACGUGGGUAACCUGCCUGUAAGACUGGGAUAACUCCGGGAAACCGGGGCUAAUACCGGAUGCUUGUUUGAACCGCAUGGUUCAAACAUAAAAGGUGGCUUCGGCUACCACUUACAGAUGGACCCGCGGCGCAUUAGCUAGUUGGUGAGGUAACGGCUCACCAAGGCAACGAUGCGUAGCCGACCUGAGAGGGUGAUCGGCCACACUGGGACUGAGACACGGCCCAGACUCCUACGGGAGGCAGCAGUAGGGAAUCUUCCGCAAUGGACGAAAGUCUGACGGAGCAACGCCGCGUGAGUGAUGAAGGUUUUCGGAUCGUAAAGCUCUGUUGUUAGGGAAGAACAAGUACCGUUCGAAUAGGGCGGUACCUUGACGGUACCUAACCAGAAAGCCACGGCUAACUACGUGCCAGCAGCCGCGGUAAUACGUAGGUGGCAAGCGUUGUCCGGAAUUAUUGGGCGUAAAGGGCUCGCAGGCGGUUUCUUAAGUCUGAUGUGAAAGCCCCCGGCUCAACCGGGGAGGGUCAUUGGAAA
This 596-nucleotide ribosomal RNA is filed under the name Bacillus sp. II. Its description in RNAcentral is "bacterial SSU rRNA". It matches the Rfam family "Bacterial small subunit ribosomal RNA", at positions 52 to 632 of the family's 1533-position model. The record is from RNAcentral. Lineage: Bacteria; Bacillati; Bacillota; Bacilli; Caryophanales; Bacillaceae.